RNAcentral lists this ribosomal RNA (457 nucleotides) under uncultured bacterium. RNAcentral describes it as "bacterial SSU rRNA". It matches the Rfam family "Bacterial small subunit ribosomal RNA", at positions 64 to 518 of the family's 1533-position model. The record is from RNAcentral.
ACGAGACUAGAAAGUAGCAAUACUUGGUGGCGACCGGCGCACGGGUGAGUAACGCGUAUGCAACCUACCUAUCAGAGGGGAAUAACCCGGCGAAAGUCGGACUAAUACCGCAUAAAACAGGGGCACCGCAUGGUGAUAUUUGUUAAAGAAAUUCGCUGAUAGAUGGGCAUGCGUUCCAUUAGGUAGUUGGUGAGGUAACGGCUCACCAAGCCGACGAUGGAUAGGGAACUGAGAGGUUGGUCCCCCACACUGGUACUGAGACACGGACCAGACUCCUACGGGAGGCAGCAGUGAGGAAUAUUGGUCAAUGGGCGGGAGCCUGAACCAGCCAAGUCGCGUGAAGGAAGAAGGAUCUAUGGUUCGUAAACUUCUUUUGCAGGGGAAUAAAGUGCAGGACGUGUCCUGUUUUGUAUGUACCCUGAGAAUAAGGAUCGGCUAACUCCGUGCCAGCCGCCGC